UCAUCUGAGCUUAAACUUCCAUCAUGAUUUGUGUCAAAAACAUGGAACACAAGUUCUAUCAUGUUGUCAGUGAUAGAGACUCCACAUGCUUGAGAAGCAGCUCUUUUAAAAUCACUUCUAGUCAAAAGACCAUUCACUUGCCCGAAACAGAAAAGUGCCAACGAAAACGGUUGCAAUUUCUUCCGUAGCUCAGCAAAACUUUUGAAUUCCUCAAAUGAAAUACGAAUAUGACUUAGUUGUGGCUCAUUAUCUAAAUCAUCAACUCGAGCAAGCAACUUGUGUAAAUACUUUAAAUCAGCAGAAGCAACCAUGGACAGGGCAAAAUCCUUUGCGGAAAUAGUCCCCCGAAACUUGUAAUCAUAGUGGACAAACUCCAAUUUUAGUAUUUCUUCAUGUAGAUCUCUCAAGAAUUGAACAAAUGUAUCAUACUGGAGGCGUUUCUUCCCAUCUUCACCAAAGAAGUCUUGUAAUAGGCCUCCACUGUCUAUAUGACCACCUAGAUUAUGCCCUCCUCGAUGUCCAUCACUGUGAUGAGCACCUUGCCUGUUGUGAGCUCGCAUCAAAGUCAUUACUUUCUUGAAUUCAUCAAUGUCUAUCUCUCCAUUACAGUCGAGGUCAAACAUCUUGAAUGCCACUGAAAAACUUGAUUCAGGGAUACUCAGCAGGGUGACAAAGAAAAUAUACUCUUUAAAAGAGAUGUGGCCAUCAUUAUUUGUGUCAAAAAGCAUAAAAAAUUUUGAUGGGGCACAUCGCAAUUCACCCGGAUUUCUUUCACCUCUGAGAUAUCCAUCUCUCACGAGGUGUGAUUCAGAUGGAGGGAACACCGGAACAACUGCUCUCAUUAGAUCUGCUGGUGUCAUAAAUAUUUCUCCAUCAUGGGCUUCAAAAGAUGCAAAGUACUCAAACACCUUUUCAGGAGGACUUCGCAUCCUAAUACGCUUUUCAUAAUUAAAGAAUACUUUUCUUCUGUAAGCAUCUCCAAAGAGAUAGCUUGGUCGAGAUUGUGAUGUGUGGGAAAAAGAGAAAGAUGGGUAAUUUGGUGAAGAAUAGUUAUAGGAGUAAUAUGCGAAAGCUAAAGUGGAACUGGUAAUGAUUCCACCAAUCCAUUUGAGGAAAGAUAUUGAACUACUUUUUGGAUCCUGCUGACCAUCAGUUCUACUUAAAUGGCUAAAAUGGCGGAGUUGGGUUGUGAUCGAUGGUGUACAUCGCCGGAGAUCCGACCAAGAUGGCAUACUUUACUUCAAAACCAGACAACCUGAU
This 1260-nucleotide unclassified non-coding RNA is filed under the name Hevea brasiliensis (rubber tree). Lineage: Eukaryota; Viridiplantae; Streptophyta; Magnoliopsida; Malpighiales; Euphorbiaceae. The record is from RNAcentral.